RNAcentral lists this ribosomal RNA (492 nucleotides) under uncultured bacterium. RNAcentral describes it as "partial 16S ribosomal RNA". It matches the Rfam family "Bacterial small subunit ribosomal RNA", at positions 29 to 507 of the family's 1533-position model. The record is from RNAcentral.
AGUGAACGCUGGCGGUAGGCCUAACACAUGCAAGUCGAACGGCAGCACAGUAAGAGCUUGCUCUUACGGGUGGCGAGUGGCGGACGGGUGAGGAAUACAUCGGAAUCUACUUUUUCGUGGGGGAUAACGUAGGGAAACUUACGCUAAUACCGCAUACGACCUACGGUUGAAAGCAGGGGAUCUUCGGACCUUGCGCGAUUGAAUGAGCCGAUGUCGGAUUAGCUAGUUGGCGGGGUAAGGGCCCACCAAGGCGACGAUCCGUAGCUGGUCUGAGAGGAUGAUCAGCCACACUGGAACUGAGACACGGUCCAGACUCCUACGGGAGGCAGCAGUGGGGAAUAUUGGACAAUGGGCGCAAGCCUGAUCCAGCCAUACCGCGUGGGUGAAGAAGGCCUUCGGGUUGUAAAGCCCUUUUGUUGGGAAAGAAAAGCAGCAGGUUAAUACCCCGCUGUUCUGACGGUACCCAAAGAAUAAGCACCGGCUAACUUCGUG